AAGGGCCUUAAGAUUGUUUAAUUCAAACAAGGGAAGGAAAGGUAGAAAAAAGGCUAUGUGGGUAAUAGUAAAGGCUCCUCGACAACAAGAUGCCAAACAAUGUGGUUACUAUGUGAUGUGAUUUAUGAGACAAAUUGUUGAAGAAGUUGAAAUUAUCGAAAGAGAUUCACUACGAUCUAUAUUCACACAAGCAGAGUAUUCUCGAGAAGAAAUUGAUGAGGUGUGAUCGGAGUUGGCAGAAUGUAUACAAGAUCAUAUUUAUGAGUAGGUGCAUUCA
Long non-coding RNA from Zingiber officinale, 277 nucleotides. RefSeq lists it as uncharacterized. The record is from RefSeq and is a predicted model, not a curated record. Lineage: Eukaryota; Viridiplantae; Streptophyta; Magnoliopsida; Zingiberales; Zingiberaceae. The transcript is spliced from 3 exons.